This 159-nucleotide ribosomal RNA is filed under the name Alternaria infectoria. Its description in RNAcentral is "5.8S ribosomal RNA". The stretch from base 27 to 159 matches the Rfam family "5.8S ribosomal RNA", at positions 1 to 133 of the family's 154-position model. Rfam says of the family: 5.8S ribosomal RNA (5.8S rRNA) is a component of the large subunit of the eukaryotic ribosome. The record is from RNAcentral. Lineage: Eukaryota; Fungi; Ascomycota; Dothideomycetes; Pleosporales; Pleosporaceae.
GCGUCAGUAACAACGUAAUUAAUUACAACUUUCAACAACGGAUCUCUUGGUUCUGGCAUCGAUGAAGAACGCAGCGAAAUGCGAUACGUAGUGUGAAUUGCAGAAUUCAGUGAAUCAUCGAAUCUUUGAACGCACAUUGCGCCCUUUGGUAUUCCAAAG